GCCAGCGGCGAUAGCACGAUGAAAGCACCAGUUCCCUAUGGAUCACUGAAGUUAAGCAACGCUGCAAGAGGAUGGGUGGUCAUCUGGGCACUCGAGUGCUGCUAGAU
RNAcentral lists this ribosomal RNA (107 nucleotides) under Diaphorina citri (Asian citrus psyllid). Lineage: Eukaryota; Metazoa; Arthropoda; Insecta; Hemiptera; Psyllidae. The record is from RNAcentral.